AGCCCGGUGGUGUAGCCUCCUAGCACGGUUGUGGCUAGGUGGCAUAGCCGGGGCUCUGGACCCUGGGACCCAGGUUCGAAUCCUGGCCGGGCUACCA
RNAcentral lists this transfer RNA (97 nucleotides) under Candidatus Freyarchaeota archaeon. Its description in RNAcentral is "tRNA-Gln". The stretch from base 33 to 94 matches the Rfam family "tRNA". From Rfam's summary of the family: Transfer RNA (tRNA) molecules are approximately 80 nucleotides in length. Their secondary structure includes four short double-helical elements and three loops (D, anti-codon, and T loops). Further hydrogen bonds mediate the characteristic L-shaped molecular structure. tRNAs have two regions of fundamental functional importance: the anti-codon, which is responsible for specific mRNA codon recognition, and the 3' end, to which the tRNAs corresponding amino acid is attached (by aminoacyl-tRNA synthetases). tRNAs cope with the degeneracy of the genetic code in two manners: having more than one tRNA (with a specific anti-codon) for a particular amino acid; and 'wobble' base-pairing, i.e. permitting non-standard base-pairing at the 3rd anti-codon position. The record is from RNAcentral. Lineage: Archaea; Promethearchaeati; Candidatus Freyarchaeota.